This 432-nucleotide ribosomal RNA is filed under the name uncultured bacterium. RNAcentral describes it as "partial 16S ribosomal RNA". It matches the Rfam family "Bacterial small subunit ribosomal RNA", at positions 338 to 795 of the family's 1533-position model. The record is from RNAcentral.
CCUACGGGAGGCAGCAGUGGGGAAUCUUGCUCAAUGGGCGAAAGCCUGAAGCAGCGACGCCGCGUGGAGGAUGAAGGCCUUCGGGUUGUAAACUUCUGUUAUGAAAAUUGUUGUACCACUAGAGAAAGCACUGGCUAAUCUCGUGCCAGCAGCCGCGGUAAUACGAGAGGUGCAAGCGUUAUUCGGAAUCAUUGGGCGUAAAGGGUGCGUAGACGGCAUUGUAAGUCUGUUGUUAAAAUUCUUGGCCUAACUGAGAGUCUGCAACGGAAACUGUUUUGCUAGAGGGUGAGAGAGAGAAGUGGAAUUCUCGGAGUAGCGGUCAAAUGCGUAGAUCUCGAGAGGAACACCGAUGGCGAAGGCAGCUUCUUGGCUCAUUCUGACGUUGAGGCACGAAAGCGUGGGGAGCAAACAGGAUUAGAUACCCUUGUAGUC